RNAcentral lists this transfer RNA (94 nucleotides) under Candidatus Aminicenantes bacterium RBG_16_63_14. Its description in RNAcentral is "tRNA-Sec". It matches the Rfam family "Selenocysteine transfer RNA". The record is from RNAcentral. Lineage: Bacteria; Candidatus Aminicenantota. RNAcentral also lists the same sequence under 1 other name.
GGAGGGUCAGGGUUCCGGUGAACCCUCUGGACUUCAAAUCCAGUAUGGGGCUAUAGACGUCCCGGGUGGGUUCGACUCCCACACCUUCCCGCCA